Molecule: ribosomal RNA, 460 nt
Filed under: uncultured bacterium
Lineage: Bacteria
Description: partial 16S ribosomal RNA
Rfam family: Bacterial small subunit ribosomal RNA
Source: RNAcentral
CCUACGGGCGGCAGCAGUGAGGAAUAUUGGUCAAUGGACGAAAGUCUGAACCAGCCAAGCCGCGUGCAGGAAGACUGCCCUAUGGGUUGUAAACUUCUUUUGUAUGGGGAUAAAUCCCGGUACGUGUACCGUGUUGUAUGUACCUUACGAAUAAGGAUCGGCUAACUCCGUGCCAGCAGCCGCGGUAAUACGGAGGAUCCGAGCGUUAUCCGGAUUUAUUGGGUUUAAAGGGUGCGUAGGCGGUUGGUUAAGUUAGUGGUGAAAGCCCGGGGCUCAACCCCGGAACUGCAGCUGAUACUGUCGGGCUAUAGUGCAGUAGAGGUAGGCGGAAUGCAUGGUGUAGCGGUGAAAUGCAUAGAGAGCACACAGAACUCCGAUUGCGAAGGCAGCUUACCGGACUGUGACUGACGUUGAGGCACGAAAGCGUGGGUAGCAAACAGGAUUAGAUACCCUGGUAGUC